UGUUUGCUGAGCAUUAUGCAAUAACUCAGAAUUCUGCUUCUGAUUCUGCGUUGACUUCGUUAUGUUUUCUUUUAUACUGGACUCAACUCCGAAGUCCACUCCUCCUUAGAGGAAACCGCUCAGUAGUCACCUAGAGUGGAGUACCCAUAGGGACACUACUUGAAGAAGAAGAAAUGAUUAUUCAUCCUGUGCAGAAACUGUGGUUCUUUCAAAUGUGUGUCCCUAUGGGUGCUCCACUAUCCACCCUUCUUACCCUCUGCUUCUGAGUUCUCUGAUGGAGCUUCACUGUAGAGAAGGAACUGAGGGCAGUUCACUCGCACAAUGCUAUAUAACAGCAUCAUGGAGCAUAAGACUGAGUAACACAUAUGCACAGGCCGAAUGGACGCUGCUAUGAGAAAUCUCCAAUCAAAGGUGCAGAGGGCAUAAGUGCACCUAGAGUGGAACACCCAUAGGGAUACACAUCUUGAAGAACCACAAUUGCUCUACAGGGUGAGUAACCAUUUCUUUGCUGCUGUUUGGUGUUUAAUAUUUCUAAGAUUAAAAAAAAAACAAAGGAAGUGGAGAGAUGUAGAGAGGGAAAGAGCAGGGAUAUGAGGAAUGGAGGAACAAAGAGUGGGAUGUAGGAGGGAAAAGGGGAUAAGUCAAACACAAAAUGGAAACUGAUAGCUACAAAACACAGCCUAAACACUGAGAGGAGUUAUUGUACAGCUAAUG
Long non-coding RNA from Dermochelys coriacea (leatherback sea turtle), 714 nucleotides. RefSeq lists it as uncharacterized. The record is from RefSeq and is a predicted model, not a curated record. Lineage: Eukaryota; Metazoa; Chordata; Testudines; Dermochelyidae. The transcript is spliced from 2 exons.